RNAcentral lists this ribosomal RNA (445 nucleotides) under uncultured bacterium. Its description in RNAcentral is "partial 16S ribosomal RNA". It matches the Rfam family "Bacterial small subunit ribosomal RNA", at positions 354 to 796 of the family's 1533-position model. The record is from RNAcentral.
GUGAGGAAUAUUGGACAAUGGGCGCAAGCCUGAUCCAGCCAUGCCGCGUGCAGGAAGACGCAUCUAUGGUGUGUAAACUGCUUUUGUACGGGAAGAAACACUCCCUCGUGAGGGAGCUUGACGGUACCGUAAGAAUAAGGAUCGGCUAACUCCGUGCCAGCAGCCGCGGUAAUACGGAGGAUCCAAGCGUUAUCCGGAAUCAUUGGGUUUAAAGGGUCCGUAGGCGGUUUAAUAAGUCAGUGGUGAAAGCCCAUCGCUCAACGAUGGAACGGCCAUUGAUACUGUUAGACUUGAAUUACAUGGAAGUAACUAGAAUAUGUAGUGUAGCGGUGAAAUGCUUAGAUAUUACAUGGAAUACCAAUUGCGAAGGCAGGUUACUACUUGUGGAUUGACGCUGAUGGACGAAAGCGUGGGGAGCGAACAGGAUUAGAAACCCCAGUAGUCC